UGUUGGAACGGUACCCAAAGAAUAAGCACCGGCUAACUUCGUGCCAGCAGCCGCAGGUAAUAGGAAGGGUGCAAGCGUUACUGGGAAUUAGUGGGAGUAAAGCGUGCGUAGGUGGUUGUUUAAUUGUAAUUUGAAAGCCAAGUGUUCAACCUGGGAAUUGCAGUGGAUACUGGGCGACUAGACUGUGGUAGAGGGUAGUGGAAUUCCAGUAGUAGCAGUGAAAUGGGUAGAGAUCGGGAGGAACAUCCACGGCGAAGGCAGCUACAUGGACCAACAUUGACACUGAGGCAGGAAAGCGUGGGGAGCAAACAGGAUCAGAUACCGUGGUCGUGCUCGCCCUAAACGUUGCGAAUGGGAUGUUGGGUGCAAUGCGGCACGCAGUAUAGAAGAUAACGAGUUAAUUUCGCCGCCUGGGGAGUACGGUCGCAAGAAGGAAAAUCAAAGGAAUAGACGGGGGCCCGCACCACCGGUGGAGUAUGUGGUUUAAUUCGAUGCAACGCGAAGAACCUUACCUGGUCUUGACAUGUCGAGAACUUUCCAGAGAUGGAUUGGUGCCUU
Molecule: ribosomal RNA, 558 nt
Filed under: Stenotrophomonas sp.
Lineage: Bacteria; Pseudomonadati; Pseudomonadota; Gammaproteobacteria; Lysobacterales; Lysobacteraceae
Description: bacterial SSU rRNA
Rfam family: Bacterial small subunit ribosomal RNA
Source: RNAcentral